Molecule: ribosomal RNA, 1095 nt
Filed under: Salmonella enterica subsp. enterica serovar Typhimurium
Lineage: Bacteria; Pseudomonadati; Pseudomonadota; Gammaproteobacteria; Enterobacterales; Enterobacteriaceae
Description: bacterial SSU rRNA
Rfam family: Bacterial small subunit ribosomal RNA
Source: RNAcentral
AAAUUGAAGAGUUUGAUCAUGGCUCAGAUUGAACGCUGGCGGCAGGCCUAACACAUGCAAGUCGAACGGUAACAGGAAGCAGCUUGCUGCUUCGCUGACGAGUGGCGGACGGGUGAGUAAUGUCUGGGAAACUGCCUGAUGGAGGGGGAUAACUACUGGAAACGGUGGCUAAUACCGCAUAACGUCGCAAGACCAAAGAGGGGGACCUUCGGGCCUCUUGCCAUCAGAUGUGCCCAGAUGGGAUUAGCUAGUUGGUGAGGUAACGGCUCACCAAGGCGACGAUCCCUAGCUGGUCUGAGAGGAUGACCAGCCACACUGGAACUGAGACACGGUCCAGACUCCUACGGGAGGCAGCAGUGGGGAAUAUUGCACAAUGGGCGCAAGCCUGAUGCAGCCAUGCCGCGUGUAUGAAGAAGGCCUUCGGGUUGUAAAGUACUUUCAGCGGGGAGGAAGGUGUUGUGGUUAAUAACCGCAGCAAUUGACGUUACCCGCAGAAGAAGCACCGGCUAACUCCGUGCCAGCAGCCGCGGUAAUACGGAGGGUGCAAGCGUUAAUCGGAAUUACUGGGCGUAAAGCGCACGCAGGCGGUCUGUCAAGUCGGAUGUGAAAUCCCCGGGCUCAACCUGGGAACUGCAUUCGAAACUGGCAGGCUUGAGUCUUGUAGAGGGGGGUAGAAUUCCAGGUGUAGCGGUGAAAUGCGUAGAGAUCUGGAGGAAUACCGGUGGCGAAGGCGGCCCCCUGGACAAAGACUGACGCUCAGGUGCGAAAGCGUGGGGAGCAAACAGGAUUAGAUACCCUGGUAGUCCACGCCGUAAACGAUGUCUACUUGGAGGUUGUGCCCUUGAGGCGUGGCUUCCGGAGCUAACGCGUUAAGUAGACCGCCUGGGGAGUACGGCCGCAAGGUUAAAACUCAAAUGAAUUGACGGGGGCCCGCACAAGCGGUGGAGCAUGUGGUUUAAUUCGAUGCAACGCGAAGAACCUUACCUGGUCUUGACAUCCACAGAACUUUCCAGAGAUGGAUUGGUGCCUUCGGGAACUGUGAGACAGGUGCUGCAUGGCUGUCGUCAGCUCGUGUUGUGAAAUGUUGGGUUAAGU